GAACGCUGGCGGCGUGCUACACAUGCAAGUCGAACGAAGAGCGAUGGAAGCUUGCUUCUAUCAAUCUUAGUGGCGAACGGGUGAGUAACGCGUAAUCAACCUGCCCUUCAGAGGGGGACAACAGUUGGAAACGACUGCUAAUACCGCAUACGAUCCAAUCUCGGCAUCGAGACUGGAUGAAAGGUGGCCUCUAUUUAUAAGCUAUCACUGAAGGAGGGGAUUGCGUCUGAUUAGCUAGUUGGAGGGGUAACGGCCCACCAAGGCGAUGAUCAGUAGCCGGUCUGAGAGGAUGAACGGCCACAUUGGGACUGAGACACGGCCCAGACUCCUACGGGAGGCAGCAGUGGGGAAUCUUCCGCAAUGGACGAAAGUCUGACGGAGCAACGCCGCGUGAGUGAUGACGGCCUUCGGGUUGUAAAGCUCUGUUAAUCGGGACGAAUGGUUCUUGUGCGAAUAGUGCGAGGAUUUGACGGUACCGGAAUAGAAAGCCACGGCUAACUAUGUGCCAGCAGCCGCGGUAAUACGUAGGUGGCAAGCGUUGUCCGGAAUUAUUGGGCGUAAAGCGCGCGCAGGCGGAUUGGUCAGUCUGUCUUAAAAGUUCGGGGCUUAACCCCGUGAUGGGAUGGAAACUGCCAAUCUAGAGUAUCGGAGAGGAAAGUGGAAUUCCUAGUGUAGCGGUGAAAUGCGUAGAUAUUAGGAAGAACACCAGUGGCGAAGGCGACUUUCUGGACGAAAACUGACGCUGAGGCGCGAAAGCGUGGG
RNAcentral lists this ribosomal RNA (762 nucleotides) under uncultured Veillonella sp. RNAcentral describes it as "bacterial SSU rRNA". It matches the Rfam family "Bacterial small subunit ribosomal RNA", at positions 31 to 765 of the family's 1533-position model. The record is from RNAcentral. Lineage: Bacteria; Bacillati; Bacillota; Negativicutes; Veillonellales; Veillonellaceae.